GUGCUCACUACAGUAGAACAUCUGCUAGAAUUGGAAUGAUAGAGUAGCAGGCUCCCUGAAAAACAAGGACAUACAAAUUAGUAGAAUGUUUCAUAUUUUU
This 100-nucleotide small nuclear RNA is filed under the name Sorex araneus (European shrew). The record is from RNAcentral. Lineage: Eukaryota; Metazoa; Chordata; Mammalia; Eulipotyphla; Soricidae.